GACGAACGCUGGCGGCGUGCUUAACACAUGCAAGUCGAACGGAAAGGCCCUGCUUUUGUGGGGUGCUCGAGUGGCGAACGAGUGAGUAACACGUGAGUAACCUGCCCUUUACUUUGGGAUAACGUCAGCAAACUGGAGCUAAUACCGGGUAGGAGCUCCUGCUGCAUGGUGGGGGUUGGAAAGGUUCGGCGGUUGGGGAUGGACUCGCGGCUUAUCAGCUUGUUGGUGGGGUGGUGGCUUACCAAGGCUUUGACGGGUAGCCGGCCGGAGAGGGUGACCGGCCACAUUGGGACUGGGAUACGGCCAAGACUCCUACGGGAGGCAGCAGUGGGGAAUAUGGCACAAUGGGCGGAAGCCUGAUGAAGCAACGCCGGGUGCGGGAUGACGGCCUUCGGGUUGUAAACCGCUUUCGCCGGUGACGAAGCGGGAGUGACGGUAAUGGGUAAAGAAGCACCGGCUAACUACGUG
This 468-nucleotide ribosomal RNA is filed under the name uncultured bacterium. Its description in RNAcentral is "partial 16S ribosomal RNA". It matches the Rfam family "Bacterial small subunit ribosomal RNA", at positions 28 to 507 of the family's 1533-position model. The record is from RNAcentral.